RNAcentral lists this ribosomal RNA (63 nucleotides) under Hypoxylon fuscum. RNAcentral's name for it is "partial 18S ribosomal RNA". The record is from RNAcentral. Lineage: Eukaryota; Fungi; Ascomycota; Sordariomycetes; Xylariales; Hypoxylaceae.
GUUGGUGACCAGCGGAGGGAUCAUUACUGAGUUCUUACAACUCCAACCCUCUGUGAACCAUAC